Molecule: ribosomal RNA, 374 nt
Filed under: uncultured organism
Description: partial 16S ribosomal RNA
Rfam family: Bacterial small subunit ribosomal RNA
Source: RNAcentral
GGAGGGGGCGAGCGUUAUUCGGAUUUACUGGGCGUAAAGCGCACGUAGGCGGCUAGGGUGUGUCAAAGGUGAAAGCCCUCGACUCAACCGAGGAACUGCCUUUGAAACUGCUUGGCUUGAGUCCCGGGAGAGGGGAGCGGAAUUCCCAGUGUAGCGGUGAAAUGCGUAGAUACUGGGAGGAACACCGGUGGCGAAGGCGGCUCCCUGGACCGGCACUGACGCUGAGGUGCGAAAGCGUGAGUAGCAAACAGGAUUAGAUACCCUGGUGGUCCACGCCGUAAACGAUGGGCACUAGGUGCAGCGGGUGUCGACCCCUGCUGUGCCGAAGCUAACGCAUUAAGUGCCCCGCCUGGGGAGUACGGUCGCAAAGGCUG